This is a non-coding RNA of Acanthosepion pharaonis, 110 nucleotides long. The record is from the annotation of a GenBank genome assembly. Lineage: Eukaryota; Metazoa; Mollusca; Cephalopoda; Sepiida; Sepiidae.
GGCUACAUCAUAUUGAAAUGCUGGUUCCUGUACAAUCACUGAAGUUAAGCAACACCAAGACUGGUUUGUACCUGGAUGGGUGACUGCUUGGGAGUACCAGGUGCUGUAAU